Molecule: ribosomal RNA, 253 nt
Filed under: uncultured bacterium
Lineage: Bacteria
Description: partial 16S ribosomal RNA
Rfam family: Bacterial small subunit ribosomal RNA
Source: RNAcentral
UACGAAGGGUGCGAGCGUUAAUCGGAAUUACUGGGCGUAAAGCGUGCGCAGGCGGUUCGCUGUGUCCGAUGUGAAAGCCCCGGGCUUAACCUGGGAAUGGCAUUGGAAACUGGCGGGCUUGAGUGCGGCAGAGGGGGGUGGAAUUCCGCGUGUAGCAGUGAAAUGCGUAGAGAUGCGGAGGAACACCGAUGGCGAAGGCAGCCCCCUGGGUCGACACUGACGCUCAGGCACGAAAGCGUGGGGAGCAAACAGG